UCCGGAAAAUCAAGGCUGAGGCGUGAUGACGAGGCACUACGGUGCUGAAGCAACAAAUGCCCUGCUUCCAGGAAAAGCCUCUAAGCAUCAGGUAACAUCAAAUCGUACCCCAAACCGACACAGGUGGUCAGGUAGAGAAUACCAAGGCGCUUGAGAGAACUCGGGUGAAGGAACUAGGCAAAAUGGUGCCGUAACUUCGGGAGAAGGCACGCUGAUAUGUAGGUGAGGUCCCUCGCGGAUGGAGCUGAAAUCAGUCGAAGAUACCAGCUGGCUGCAACUGUUUAUUAAAAACACAGCACUGUGCAAACACGAAAGUGGACGUAUACGGUGUGACGCCUCCCCGGUGCCGGAAGGUUAAUUGAUGGGGUUAGCGCAAGCGAAGCUCUUGAUCGAAGCCCCGGUAAACGGCGGCCGUAACGAUAACGGUCCUAAGGUAGCGAAAUUCCUUGUCGGGUAAGUUCCGACCUGCACGAAUGGCGUAAUGAUGGCCAGGCUGUCUCCACCCGAGACUCAGUGAAAUUGAACUCGCUGUGAAGAUGCAGUGUACCCGCGGCAAGACGGAAAGACCCCGUGAACCUUUACUAUAGCUUGACACUGAACAUUGAGCCUUGAUGUGUAGGAUAGGUGGGAGGCUUUGAAGUGUGGACGCCAGUCUGCAUGGAGCCGACCUUGAAAUACCACCCUUUAAUGUUCGAUGUUCUAACGUUGACCCGUAAUCCGGGUUGCGGACAGUGUCUGGUGGGUAGUUUGACUGGGGCGGUCUCCUCCUAAAGAGUAACGGAGGAGCACGAAGGUUGGCUAAUCCUGGUCGGACAUCAGGAGGUUAGUGCAAUGGCAUAAGCCAGCUUGACUGCGAGCGUGACGGCGCGAGCAGGUGCGAAGGCAGGUCAUAGUGAUCCGGUGGUUCUGAAUGGAAGGGCCAUCGCUCAACGGAUAAAAGGUACUCCGGGGAUAACAGGCUGAUACCGCCCAAGAGUUCAUAUCGACGGCGGUGUUUGGCACCUCGAUGUCGGCUCAUCACAUCCUGGGGCUGAAGUAGGUCCCAAGGGUAUGGCUGUUCGCCAUUUAAAGUGGUACGCGAGCUGGGUUUAGAACGUCGUGAGACAGUUCGGUCCCUAUCUGCCGUGGGCGCUGGAGAACUGAGGGGGGCUGCUCCUAGUACGAGAGGACCGGGGUGGACGCAUCACUGGUGUUCGGGUUGUCAUGCCAAUGGCACUGCCCGGUAGCUAAAUGCGGAAGAGAUAAGUGCUGAAAGCAUCUAAGCACGAAACUUGCCCCGAGAUGAGUUCUCCCUGACUCCUUGAGAGUCCUGAAGGAACGUUGAAGACGACGACGUUGAUAGGCCGGGUGUGUAAGCGCAGCGAUGCGUUGAGCUAACCGGUACUAAUGAAUC
RNAcentral lists this ribosomal RNA (1393 nucleotides) under metagenome. RNAcentral's name for it is "bacterial LSU rRNA". It matches the Rfam family "Bacterial large subunit ribosomal RNA", at positions 1541 to 2910 of the family's 2925-position model. The record is from RNAcentral.